This 1342-nucleotide ribosomal RNA is filed under the name metagenome. RNAcentral's name for it is "bacterial SSU rRNA". It matches the Rfam family "Bacterial small subunit ribosomal RNA", at positions 162 to 1498 of the family's 1533-position model. The record is from RNAcentral.
GCUAAUACCGCAUAUUCUGUGAGCAGGAAAGCAGGGGACCGCAAGGCCUUGCGCUCUUUGAGCGGCCGAUGUCAGAUUAGCUAGUUGGUGAGGUAAAGGCUUACCAAGGCGACGAUCUGUAGCGGGUCUGAGAGGAUGAUCCGCCUCACUGGAACUGAGACACGGUCCAGACUCCUACGGGAGGCAGCAGUGGGGAAUUUUGGACAAUGGGGGCAACCCUGAUCCAGCCAUGCCGCGUGAGUGAAGAAGGCCUUCGGGUUGUAAAGCUCUUUCGGCCGGGAAGAAAUCGCAUGGGCCAAUACCCUGUGUGGAUGACGGUACCGGAAUAAGAAGCACCGGCUAACUACGUGCCAGCAGCCGCGGUAAUACGUAGGGUGCGAGCGUUAAUCGGAAUUACUGGGCGUAAAGCGUGCGCAGGCGGUUUUGUAAGACAGGCGUGAAAUCCCCGGGCUUAACCUGGGAACUGCGUUUGUGACUGCAAGGCUAGAGUACGGCAGAAGGGGGUGGAAUUCCACGUGUAGCAGUGAAAUGCGUAGAGAUGUGGAGGAACACCAAUGGCGAAGGCAGCCCCCUGGGUCGAUACUGACGCUCAUGCACGAAAGCGUGGGUAGCAAACAGGAUUAGAUACCCUGGUAGUCCACGCCCUAAACUAUGUCAACUAGGUGUUGGGUGGGUAAAACCAUUUAGUACCGUAGCUAACGCGUGAAGUUGACCGCCUGGGGAGUACGGCCGCAAGGUUAAAACUCAAAGGAAUUGACGGGGACCCGCACAAGCGGUGGAUGAUGUGGAUUAAUUCGAUGCAACGCGAAAAACCUUACCUACCCUUGACAUGCCAGGAACUUGCCAGAGAUGGCUUGGUGCCCGAAAGGGAGCCUGGACACAGGUGCUGCAUGGCUGUCGUCAGCUCGUGUCGUGAGAUGUUGGGUUAAGUCCCGCAACGAGCGCAACCCUUGUCGUUAAUUGCCAUCAUUUGGUUGGGCACUUUAACGAGACUGCCGGUGACAAACCGGAGGAAGGUGGGGAUGACGUCAAGUCCUCAUGGCCCUUAUGGGUAGGGCUUCACACGUCAUACAAUGGUCGGUACAGAGGGUUGCCAAGCCGCGAGGCGGAGCCAAUCCCAGAAAGCCGAUCGUAGUCCGGAUUGCAGGCUGCAACUCGCCUGCAUGAAGUCGGAAUCGCUAGUAAUCGCGGAUCAGCAUGUCGCGGUGAAUACGUUCCCGGGUCUUGUACACACCGCCCGUCACACCAUGGGAGCGGGUUCCGCCAGAAGUAGGUAGCCUAACCGCAAGGAGGGCGCUUACCACGGCGGGGUUCGUGACUGGGGUGAAGUCGUAACAAGGUA